GACGAACGCUGGCGGCGUGCCUAAUACAUGCAAGUUGAGCGCUGAAGGUUGGUACUUGUACCAACUGGAUGAGCAGCGAACGGGUGAGUAACGCGUGGGGAAUCUGCCUUUGAGCGGGGGACAACAUUUGGAAACGAAUGCUAAUACCGCAUAAAAACUUUAAACACAAGUUUUAAGUUUGAAAGAUGCAAUUGCAUCACUCAAAGAUGAUCCCGCGUUGUAUUAGCUAGUUGGUGAGGUAAAGGCUCACCAAGGCGAUGAUACAUAGCCGACCUGAGAGGGUGAUCGGCCACAUUGGGACUGAGACACGGCCCAAACUCCUGCGGGAGGCAGCAGGAGGGAAUCUUCGGCAAUGGACGAAAGUCUGACCGAGCAACGCCGCGUGAGUGAAGAAGGUUUUCGGAUCGUAAAACUCUGUUGGUAGAGAAGAACGUUGGUGAGAGUGGAAAGCUCAUCAAGUGACGGUAACUACCCAGAAAGGGACGGCUAACUACGUG
RNAcentral lists this ribosomal RNA (497 nucleotides) under uncultured bacterium. RNAcentral describes it as "partial 16S ribosomal RNA". It matches the Rfam family "Bacterial small subunit ribosomal RNA", at positions 28 to 507 of the family's 1533-position model. The record is from RNAcentral.